RNAcentral lists this ribosomal RNA (341 nucleotides) under Medauroidea romantica. RNAcentral describes it as "partial small subunit ribosomal RNA". The record is from RNAcentral. Lineage: Eukaryota; Metazoa; Arthropoda; Insecta; Phasmatodea; Phasmatidae.
UAGUUAUAUUCUUUAAACCUAAAGAAUUUGGCGGUAUUUUAGUCUAUUCAGAGGAAUCUGUCCCGUUAUCGAUAGUCCACGUUUUAUCUUACUUUAAUUUGUUUAAUCAGUAUGUAUACCGCUGUUAUAAGUUUAUUUUAUAAGAAUUUAAUUUACUAUAAAUAAUAUUUUAUUUUAUUUCAAGUCAAGGUGCAGUUUAUAUUAAAGUGGAGAUGGAUUACAAUUUUAUCUGAGAAAAUGGAUGUGUUUAAUUUAAAAUUUCAUUGAAGGUGGAUUUGAUAGUAAUAGUUUUAAAUAAUAAUUAUUUGAUUAUAGCUCUAAAAUAAGCACACAUCGCCCGG